RNAcentral lists this transfer RNA (72 nucleotides) under Aedes aegypti (yellow fever mosquito). RNAcentral's name for it is "partial tRNA-OTHER". Lineage: Eukaryota; Metazoa; Arthropoda; Insecta; Diptera; Culicidae. The record is from RNAcentral.
AUGCUCAGGUGGGUCUCGAACCGACGACUAUUGUAUGUUGAAUGAGUGAUUUACCAACUUAGCUACCGAGCC